Molecule: ribosomal RNA, 253 nt
Filed under: uncultured bacterium
Lineage: Bacteria
Description: partial 16S ribosomal RNA
Rfam family: Bacterial small subunit ribosomal RNA
Source: RNAcentral
UACGGAGGGUGCGAGCGUUGUUCGGAAUCACUGGGCGUAAAGGGCGUGUAGGCGGUCCGCUAAGUCUGAUGUGAAAGCCCGGGGCUCACCCCCGGAAGUGCAUUGGAAACUGGCGGACUCGAGUCCCGGAGAGGAGAGUGGAAUUCCUGGUGUAGCGGUGAAAUGCGUAGAUAUCAGGAGGAACACCGGUGGCGAAGGCGACUUCCUGGACCAGUACCGACGUUCAGGCACGAAAGCGUGGGGAGCAAACAGG